UGGAUUAGUGGCGAACGGGUGAGUAACACGUGAGUAACCUGCCCCUGACUCUGGGAUAAGCGUUGGAAACGACGUCUAAUACUGGAUAUGACUGCCGGCCGCAUGGUCUGGUGGUGGAAAGAUUUUUUGGUUGGGGAUGGACUCGCGGCCUAUCAGCUUGUUGGUGAGGUAAUGGCUCACCAAGGCGACGACGGGUAGCCGGCCUGAGAGGGUGACCGGCCACACUGGGACUGAGACACGGCCCAGACUCCUACGGGAGGCAGCAGUGGGGAAUAUUGCACAAUGGGCGAAAGCCUGAUGCAGCAACGCCGCGUGAGGGAUGACGGCCUUCGGGUUGUAAACCUCUUUUAGUAGGGAAGAAGCGUAAGUGACGGUACCUGCAGAAAAAGCACCGGCUAACUACGUGCCAGCAGCCGCGGUAAUACGUAGGGUGCAAGCGUUGUCCGGAAUUAUUGGGCGUAAAGAGCUCGUAGGCGGUUUGUCGCGUCUGCUGUGAAAUCCCGAGGCUCAACCUCGGGCUUGCAGUGGGUACGGGCAGACUAGAGUGCGGUAGGGGAGAUUGGAAUUCCUGGUGUAGCGGUGGAAUGCGCAGAUAUCAGGAGGAACACCGAUGGCGAAGGCAGAUCUCUGGGCCGUAACUGACGCUGAGGAGCGAAAGCGUGGGGAGCGAACAGGAUUAGAUACCCUGGUAGUCCACGCCGUAAACGUUGGGCGCUAGAUGUAGGGACCUUUCCACGGUUUCUGUGUCGUAGCUAACGCAUUAAGCGCCCCGCCUGGGGAGUACGGCCGCAAGGCUAAAACUCAAAGGAAUUGACGGGGGCCCGCACAAGCGGCGGAGCAUGCGGAUUAAUUCGAUGCAACGCGAAGAACCUUACCAAGGCUUGACAUACACCGGAAACGGCCAGAGAUGGUCGCCCCCUUGUGGUCGGUGUACAGGUGGUGCAUGGUUGUCGUCAGCUCGUGUCGUGAGAUGUUGGGUUAAGUCCCGCAACGAGCGCAACCCUCGUUCUAUGUUGCCAGCGCGUUAUGGCGGGGACUCAUAGGAGACUGCCGGGGUCAACUCGGAGGAAGGUGGGGAUGACGUCAAAUCAUCAUGCCCCUUAUGUCUUGGGCUUCACGCAUGCUACAAUGGCCGGUACAAAGGGCUGCGAUACCGUAAGGUGGAGCGAAUCCCAAAAAGCCGGUCUCAGUUCGGAUUGAGGUCUGCAACUCGACCUCAUGAAGUCGGAGUCGCUAGUAAUCGCAGAUCAGCAACGCUGCGGUGAAUACGUUCCCGGGCCUUGUACACACCGCCCGUCAAGUCAUGAAAGUCGGUAACACCCGAAGCCGGUGGCCUAACCCUUGUGGAAG
Molecule: ribosomal RNA, 1350 nt
Filed under: Curtobacterium citreum
Lineage: Bacteria; Bacillati; Actinomycetota; Actinomycetes; Micrococcales; Microbacteriaceae
Description: bacterial SSU rRNA
Rfam family: Bacterial small subunit ribosomal RNA
Source: RNAcentral